GAUGAACGCUGGCGGCGUGCCUAAUACAUGCAAGUCGAGCGAACGGACGAGAAGCUUGCUUCUCUGAUGUUAGCGGCGGACGGGUGAGUAACACGUGGAUAACCUACUUAUAAGACUGGGAUCACUUCGGGAAACCGGAGCUAAUACCGGAUAAUAUUUUGCACCGCAUGGUUCAAAAGUGAAAGACGGUCUUGCUGUCACUUAUAGAUGGAUCCGCGCUGCAUUAGCUAGUUGGUAAGGUAACGGCUUACCAAGGCAACGAGGCAUAGCCGACCUGAGAGGGUGGUCGGCGACACUGGAGCGGAGACACCGUCCAGACGCCUACGGGAGGCAGCAGUAGGGAAUCUUCCGCAAUGGGCGAAAGCCUGACGGAGCAACGCCGCGUGAGUGAUGAAGGUCUUCGGAUCGUAAAACUCUGUUAUUAGGGAAGAACAUAUGUGUAAGUAACUGUGCACAUCUUGACGGUACCUAAUCAGAAAGCCACGGCUAACUACGUG
Molecule: ribosomal RNA, 497 nt
Filed under: uncultured bacterium
Lineage: Bacteria
Description: partial 16S ribosomal RNA
Rfam family: Bacterial small subunit ribosomal RNA
Source: RNAcentral